This 1039-nucleotide ribosomal RNA is filed under the name Arthrobacter sp. VRAK. Its description in RNAcentral is "bacterial SSU rRNA". It matches the Rfam family "Bacterial small subunit ribosomal RNA", at positions 35 to 1088 of the family's 1533-position model. Lineage: Bacteria; Bacillati; Actinomycetota; Actinomycetes; Micrococcales; Micrococcaceae. The record is from RNAcentral.
GGCAGCGGCGUGCUUACACAUGCAGUCGAACGAUGAAGCACCGCUUGCUGGUGUGGAUUAGUGGCGAACGGGUGAGUAACACGUGAGUAACCUGCCCUUGACUCUGGGAUAAGCCUGGGAAACUGGGUCUAAUACCGGAUAUGACCUUUUACCGCAUGGUGGAGGGUGGAAAGCUUUUGUGGUUUUGGAUGGACUCGCGGCCUAUCAGCUUGUUGGUGGGGUAAUGGCCUACCAAGGCGAUGACGGGUAGCCGGCCUGAGAGGGUGACCGGCCACACUGGGACUGAGACACGGCCCAGACUCCUACGGGAGGCAGCAGUGGGGAAUAUUGCACAAUGGGCGCAAGCCUGAUGCAGCGACGCCGCGUGAGGGAUGACGGCCUUCGGGUUGUAAACCUCUUUCAGUAGGGAAGAAGCGAAAGUGACGGUACCUGCAGAAGAAGCGCCGGCUAACUACGUGCCAGCAGCCGCGGUAAUACGUAGGGCGCAAGCGUUAUCCGGAAUUAUUGGGCGUAAAGAGCUCGUAGGCGGUUUGUCGCGUCUGCUGUGAAAGACCGGGGCUCAACUCCGGUUCUGCAGUGGGUACGGGCAGACUAUAGUGAUGUAGGGGAGACUGGAAUUCCUGGUGUAGCGGUGAAAUGCGCAGAUAUCAGGAGGAACACCGAUGGCGAAGGCAGGUCUCUGGGCAUUAACUGACGCUGAGGAGCGAAAGCAUGGGGAGCGAACAGGAUUAGAUACCCUGGGAGUCCAUGCCGUAAACGUUGGGCACUAUGUGUGGGGAGCAUUCCACGUUUUCCGCGCCGUAGCUAACGCAUUAAAUGCCCCGCCUGGGGAGUACGGCCGCAAGGCUAAAACUCAAAGGAAUUGACGGGGGCCCGCACAAGCGGCGGAGCAUGCGGAUUAAUUCUAUGCAACGCGAAGAACCUUACCAAGGCUUGUCAUGUACUAUACCGGGCUGGAAACAGACUUUCCCUUCGGGGCUGGUUCCAAGUGGUGCAUGGGUGGGGUCAACUCAUGUCCGGGAAUGUUGGGGUAGAGCCC